Molecule: ribosomal RNA, 253 nt
Filed under: uncultured bacterium
Lineage: Bacteria
Description: partial 16S ribosomal RNA
Rfam family: Bacterial small subunit ribosomal RNA
Source: RNAcentral
UACGUAGGGUGCGAGCGUUAAUCGGAAUUACUGGGCGUAAAGCGUGCGUAGGCGGUCCGCGAAGUCUGAUGUGAAAGCCCCGGGCUCAACCUGGGAACUGCAUUGGAAACUAACGGGCUCGAGUGAGGCAGAGGGGGGUGGAAUUCCACGUGUAGCAGUGAAAUGCGUAGAGAUCGGGAGGAACACCAGCAGCGAAGGCGGCAAACUGGAUAGAUACUGACACUCAACUACGAAAGCGUGGGUAGCAAACAGG